AUGGCGGAAACAAAACUGCACGGCGAUGUGCAUUUCUGCAACACAUCAGGCCUACAUUUUCCAUUGCCCUGGACUUAUGAACGGAAGAAAAAGCAACAUGAAGUUCCUGUCUGCAUCAAACUGCUUUCACUUAUAUUCUGCCGAAUUUCUUCCUUCUAUGGGACUGUACAUGGGGAUUAUGUACAAGGGUUAUGUCCUCUGCAGGUAGAUUAUCUUAUAGGACAGGCGAAAUGCAACAGAAGAAGCUCCUCCGCUGCUACUCGCCAAACUCCAAGCAAAAAGGACCUUCCACUUUCCUUGCUAAUGGGGCCUCAGUUUGUUCGGAAUCAGAUACAACCAUUUGAUCCAUUAUUGUUCGUGGGCAUCAUAUUUAAAUUUUUUUUUUGGAUUUUGUAA
RNAcentral lists this ribosomal RNA (396 nucleotides) under Triticum aestivum (bread wheat). RNAcentral describes it as "partial small subunit ribosomal RNA". The record is from RNAcentral. Lineage: Eukaryota; Viridiplantae; Streptophyta; Magnoliopsida; Poales; Poaceae.